RNAcentral lists this small nuclear RNA (94 nucleotides) under Notamacropus eugenii (tammar wallaby). The record is from RNAcentral. Lineage: Eukaryota; Metazoa; Chordata; Mammalia; Diprotodontia; Macropodidae.
UGAACAACAAGAUACUAAAACUGGAACAAUAUAGAGAUUAGCAUGGGCUCUGCACAAGGAUGACAUGCAAAUUUGUGAAGCAUUUUAUAUGUUU